AUGAACGCUGGCGGCGUGCCUCAUCCAUGCCAGUCGCGCGAACAGACGAGGAGCUUGCUCCUCUGACGUUAGCGGCGGACGGGUGAGUAACACGUGGAUAACCUACCUAUAAGACUGGGAUAACUUCGGGAAACCGGAGCUAAUACCGGAUAAUAUAUUGAACCGCAUGGUUCAAUAGUGAAAGACGGUUUUGCUGUCACUUAUAGAUGGAUCCGCGCCGCAUUAGCUAGUUGGUAAGGUAACGGCUUACCAAGGCAACGAUGCGUAGCCGACCUGAGAGGGUGAUCGGCCACACUGGAACUGAGACACGGUCCAGACUCCUACGGGAGGCACCAGUAGGGAAUCUUCCGCAAUGGGCGAAAGCCUGACGGAGCAACGCCGCGUGAGUGAUGAAGGUCUUCGGAUCGUAAAACUCUGUUAUUAGGGAAGAACAAAUGUGUAAGUAACUAUGCACGUCUUGACGGUACCUAAUCAGAAAGCCACGGCUAACUACGUG
This 496-nucleotide ribosomal RNA is filed under the name uncultured bacterium. Its description in RNAcentral is "partial 16S ribosomal RNA". It matches the Rfam family "Bacterial small subunit ribosomal RNA", at positions 29 to 507 of the family's 1533-position model. The record is from RNAcentral.